AUUGAACGCUGGCGGCAGGCCUAACACAUGCAAGUCGAGCGGAUGAAGGGAGCUUGCUCCUGGAUUCAGCGGCGGACGGGUGAGUAAUGCCUAGGAAUCUGCCUGGUAGUGGGGGAUAACGUCCGGAAACGGGCGCUAAUACCGCAUACGUCCUGAGGGAGAAAGUGGGGGAUCUUCGGACCUCACGCUAUCAGAUGAGCCUAGGUCGGAUUAGCUAGUUGGUGGGGUAAAGGCCUACCAAGGCGACGAUCCGUAACUGGUCUGAGAGGAUGAUCAGUCACACUGGAACUGAGACACGGUCCAGACUCCUACGGGAGGCAGCAGUGGGGAAUAUUGGACAAUGGGCGAAAGCCUGAUCCAGCCAUGCCGCGUGUGUGAAGAAGGUCUUCGGAUUGUAAAGCACUUUAAGUUGGGAGGAAGGGGAGUAAGUUAAUACCUUGCUGUUUUGACGUUACCAACAGAAUAAGCACCGGCUAACUUCGUG
RNAcentral lists this ribosomal RNA (484 nucleotides) under uncultured bacterium. RNAcentral describes it as "partial 16S ribosomal RNA". It matches the Rfam family "Bacterial small subunit ribosomal RNA", at positions 30 to 507 of the family's 1533-position model. The record is from RNAcentral.